GUUCCGAUGGACUUACUCGACCCGUGGACCCGAGCGAUGGUGGCGACCGGCGCGCCACCUGCCGCCGAAACAGGCGGGCUCACUCCUAGACCUUCCUCCGCCUCCCCGACGACAUUCUCUUCGACACCGAUCCCGACAUCGACUUCCCCUCGCUCUCAGACGACAACGUCUCCGGCGGCGACGCAGGCGCCAUGGGCGGUGGGCUUUCCGCGGAGCCCGGGAUGUCGGAUCAGCCUGCGGUUGCGUGUAGGCCUGUCCCCGGGGCCCAUCUCCGCAGUUUCUCGGUGGGCGCCGCGUUCUUCGAUAGCUUGGGAUUCCAGGCGGGCACUGUGGCCGGAAGUGGCGGCGGGGCGCAGGAAAGGAAGGGGCACAAUCGGCGGAGCGGCUCGAUAUGGCCGUUCGACGGGGAGUCGACGCCUCCUCUUUCGGAUUACGCGAAGAAGGCCAUGACGACGGCCGAUAAGCUCGCGGAGUUGGCGUUGAUCGAUCCCAAGAGAGCAAAAAGGAUUCUUUGAACAGUCAAUCCGCUGCUCGUUCGAAGGAGAGGAAGAUUCAUUUCACAAGUGAACUUGGAAUGAAGGGUGCAAACUCUUCGGACAGAGGCAACCACUCUUUCUGGCCUGCUCACACUUCUGCAGAGAGACAAUACAGAUUUGAAUGCCGAGAACAGAGAACACAAACUGCGGUUGCAGGCUAUGGAGCAACAGGCCCAACUUCAUGAUGCUCUGAAUGAAGCUAUGAGAGAAGAAGUGCAGCGGCUUAAGAUAGCAACUGGACAACUUCCAACCGCAGAUGGAAAUCCUCUUAACCGAGGGCUUCUGCAUCAUGCAUCAAACUAUUACUCUCACCCACAGCAAUUACCUCCCCUGAGUGGGCGUCAAGCACAGCAUCCGCAUCCAUCUCAAACGCAAAGUUCUUCGAAUGAAUGAAAAUGCAAAACAUACUUUGGAAUGAUGGGAGUUUUCAACCACAUUGGAUGACAAUAGCCACCAUCACAAUCUUGUUGAAGGUCGAAACAAGGCUGUGAAAGUGUCGUCGGUCUCUGAGAACAACAUAAAAAAGGAAGACUUCAAUUCCCGGUUUCGAUUUCUACCAAAUGCCUCCAAUGAUUCAACCGUCGUUUGGAUGUCAACAUAUGGAAUCUUUAGAGUUCAUCUUGUUCUCCCUGCCUAAUCCAUGCGUUAACAUGUUAACAUCCAUGCACUUUGUAUCUCAUUUAUUAUGCUUGGCUCGCUCGGUCAAAGCCAAGAAACGAAGGAGAAGGACGCAGCGGCCGACACAGACACCGACCUGGCUUCUAAAUCUCUCGUGUUCAUAGCCACCGUCGUCUUCCACAUGUUUAAGGUGACUGAUCUCGUCGUGUAUGCUGCACGUCUGAUGUACCAGUCUCUGUACCCCACGACUCACUCGGUCCCGCCACUGACGAGCCACCGGGUCCGGGGAGGGGUGGCGGUGCUCCCGUUGGUUGGCCACCUUCCUUGACUUUGCGUUGCAGGGUGGGACACGAGAGAGUCGGUCGUCCCAUGUCAUGUCAUUUGUGACGUGAAUGCUGCUGUCACAUACUCCAAUGGAUCCAACUUCGUCUCGUACAUAUCCAGUGUAAGUAGAUAGAACCCUUGUGACAUGGAUUCCUCCAUGAUGCUCUUGACGAAAGGAGAUCACAAGUAGGACUAGGUUGUUUUCCUUGCUUAGCUUCUUUCGAAUGUCUUCCAGCCUUUGAUCUGUCUCGUAGAGAUGAUCUCAAACAUUUGAAGAGAGCUCGACAAAUUGGAGGAUCUUGAGCUGGUUAAUUGUGGAGGAUCAUGGUGUGUCAAAUCCACGACAUGGUCAACCACAUAUUGUCAACGUAAUAGUGAGAUAUCAGGUCAAUUGGCACCGAGAGAAUAAUAACCGAGCAUUAAGGUAUUGGCCAUGACGUCAAUCAUGUCAUCGAUAUGAGAAGAUAGUGGUAAUGCACUAUGUAAAUAAUUGCAUAAUAUUCAUAAUAAUUU
This is a long non-coding RNA of Musa acuminata AAA Group (dessert banana), 1991 nucleotides long. RefSeq lists it as uncharacterized. The record is from RefSeq and is a predicted model, not a curated record. NCBI's taxonomy places the organism in Eukaryota, Viridiplantae, Streptophyta, Magnoliopsida, Zingiberales, Musaceae. The transcript has 5 exons.